This is a long non-coding RNA of Haliotis rufescens (red abalone), 910 nucleotides long. RefSeq lists it as uncharacterized. The transcript is spliced from 3 exons. NCBI's taxonomy places the organism in Eukaryota, Metazoa, Mollusca, Gastropoda, Lepetellida, Haliotidae. The record is from RefSeq and is a predicted model, not a curated record.
UUGUCCAGUAAAAUUGACACCCUGUCUGUAGGUAAACGCGGAACCUGGCUCGUGUUAAUCAUAUAUAAACUCGAGCAAGUUGCACAGGUAUCACACGUAUACAGCCUCUGAAGCCGGAACCAAGACGUUGCUGGCCAGUAACAGGGAUCAUCGUUUUUUAAGCAUAUCAAGACAUCAGCGUGUGCUUUUAACACCAACCUUGUAAUGGCCACCAACCACAUCCUCAUCCUCUUGGCUGUGUUUUUGACGUAUCACCUGACAUCUGCUGCAAUUCUAAGACCUGAUUGGUUCCCUUAUUUCAGAGACGAACCACAAACAGGGAGAGGUGUCACAAUCAGUACUCGGCAAGGCAGGAAUAGUCUGAACGGUAUGAACUGCCCUCCCGACAUCUCCGAGUACGAGUGCUACAAUGAGCUGAUGGCUGUUUGGACAAGAGUUCUUGCAAAGGAAAAGCGACAGGAUAAAUUAAGCGUUGCAGGGAUUGGACGAAAGUGAACGGACAGUCACGUGAUAUGUACCAAGUGAAUUCCUCAGCUUACGUCUCUAGGGUCCCCGUAAUGUCUCAGACUAAAGUAUGAUAACAGGCUUGAGAUGAUACCGCAAAGUCUGCUCUUAUUAAUCACCAUGCGUAUUAGUCAAUGGAACCCUCUGUCAAGCGCAAUGAACGUUAAGUAAGCACUUACGGAAGUCUGCUAGUGCCAACUCUAUUCAUGAUACAAGUGUCUGUUACUUAACAGAUCUGCUACUCUCAUAUCAAGGAACAUAUGCAACUGGAACGUGUCUGACAGAAAGAGACGUGAUAACGCGCUGCAACAUCGUCGAGAGGGUUAUGAAAAGAUGCCCAGUUUGAUACAUCGUCUGAACUGUAUUGCCAUAUGUUUCAGACAUUAAAUGGAACCUAUUCUUUUUA